ACAGCAGUCGCCACGGUAAUACGGAGGGGGCUAGCGUUGUUCGGAAUUACUGGGCGUAAAGCGCACGUAGGCGGCUUGGUAAGUUAGAGGUGAAAGCCUGGAGCUCAACUCCAGAAUUGCCUUUAAGACUGCCGAGCUAGCAGGCGAGAGAGGUAAGUGGAAUUCCGAGUGUAGAGGUGAAAUUCGUAGAUAUUCGGAAGGACACCAGUGGCGAAGGCGGCUUACCGGCUCAUACUGGACGCUGAGGUGCGAAAGCGUGGGGAGCAAACAGGAUUAGAUACCCCUGUAGUCCCUGUCUCUUAUAC
RNAcentral lists this ribosomal RNA (305 nucleotides) under uncultured bacterium. Its description in RNAcentral is "partial 16S ribosomal RNA". It matches the Rfam family "Bacterial small subunit ribosomal RNA", at positions 505 to 807 of the family's 1533-position model. The record is from RNAcentral.